UUUUUUUUUUUUUUUUUUUUGGUCAAUGGACAUUACGAAAUUGGCCACUAUAAAGUAUAAAGAGCCAACUAGAUAAUAUGUUGGUAGAAUCGAAUUAACCUUGCAUUAGAAAGAUUCUUCACUAUAGAUAUGGAUGAUUAAGACUUAAACCGACAAAGAUAUGUACCAAUCGGAUUAGAGAUGGCCUAUUCAUUCUCCACGUUAGGAUGCAACUCGUAGAAAUGAACUUGGUAGCCUAGCCCACUAGGGAUUGCUUCAGCUUUUUUUCUCAUCGGAGGGAAGUUUUAGUGGGAUUCCAAUUUUGUUUUCUUUUUUUUUUCAUAUACCGGUUCUUUUUGGAUAAUACUGCAGCAAUUUUUAGGAUAUGACGUAGUGUAGUACGUAGCAUAAAAAGGCAGACGGAAAGAUUUAAAAAAUCAUUAAAAAAAUGCUACUAUGAUGCGACAAAUAAUUUUUUUAUCAAAUAAUACACCAUCCAAAAAAAAAUAAUAAUAAAUUUUUCUUCAUCUGAUCUGCAUCCAAGGGUUUUUGUUUUUCCUCAUUUUUUGGGCUAGUGGAUUAGGCAAAAGGAAAUAUGUAUAAAGUCUAUCAAUAACAAUUGAUAGCAAUAAGUUUGGCUGGAGUAAUGGCAUAGUGCAGCAUGCUUAUAACAAAGAAUGGAAAACUAAGCCUGAAUUUAGGGUUUAACCCCAGCUAUAUAUGGCGCUUUUCAAGUAGGCAUGUGAGGGAAGCUGGGACCGAGUGAAAAAUCAAAAAAAUGAUGAUGCUAUCAAGUCUCAUGAUCCAUAUAGUUCCAUACAGCCAAAGCUAGCAAGGAACAUCCCAUUAAUGACCUUGCUCGUGGCCUCUCAAACAUGUUGCCCCCUUGCAUGUGUGACCUUUCACUGGUGAGAGUCACAUCACAUCUCAUCUCUGGGAAAACUCUCAAUAAUCUCUAAGUUUUUUUCCUCCCAAUUUUCUCAGCCUACUACAUCCACUGCCCACUUAAAGUUAAGUUAGAUAUCUGAAUGGGACGGCCUGCCCGUGAGAAGUAUCGCUCAGGUUAGUUAGUAGGAAAGUGUCACCGCCUUUUCCAUAUUAAGUGCUCGUCAACCUGCACCUCUAUCAGGCUUUCGUCUUUGUUUGGUUUUAUUAGUUUGAAUAAUUCCCCCGUAUUUCUUUGGCAUGUUUUCAUUCUCAGCACAUCAACUUUACGUACGAUAGUAAGAAAUUUAUGAAUAAUCUCGUGAACUGUUAUUAGAGUUGGAGCAACUUAUGGUCUUGAAUGUGUUGCUAUCUUGCUUUGCAGUACUAGUAGUAAGUUUCUGUCUUUAUGCUGGCCUGGGAGGUAUUUCAAAGUUAUUUUGCUACUUCCUCUUUGUUAGAUAGAUAUAACUAUAAGCAGUUGUAACAUCAUGCUUCCAACUUUUGACGCGUACUAAAGCAAAGAAAAAAGAUUUUUGAGCCAUGAAGAAACCCGCAUUCCUCCUAUCUUCUUCCACGUUCAUCUGCAGUUCCAGGCCUUCACGCUUGUACAAUUUGAACCCAGUCAGCCCAUGUGCUUCAUUUCGCAUAUCUUCUCAAUUAGGCUAUUAAGUGCUAGUCACUUUUUCGAGAAACAAAAUAAUGCUCAUGCUUUAGAUAGAUAGAUAGAUAGCCAGUUGUUAGCCACCAAUUCCAUCCAGGAAAAAGACCAAAAGACAAUUAAUUUGUUCGACAACCAUAAAUUACUACUACUGUUGUCGAAAGUGCAUACUACAGCUUGUUAGAUUAUGGAUUUUCUAACCUUUUUUUUUUUUUUUUGAAAAAAAAAGAGAGAGAGAUGGAUUUUCUAACUACUACUCAUUAACUUUCUUUUAAUUUGCUGGUAGAAAAGAAUACAAAUUGUACAUGUGAAAGAACAGUUGCUGGCACUUGCAUCAGACAACGAGUUUCAAGAUCUUGACGCGAAGCCAUGUUCUUAAUAUCCAAGUUGAAAGGCAUAGAAUCUUACUAGGGACCAGAACAAGUUAAUAAGCAAAUGGUCCUCGUCUCUGUUUUCUCAUUUUAGAACCACGUCCACUUGAUUGAUCCAUCCACCAACUUACUUACGAUCACAAUUGAGGAUCGAUCCAUAUUUUAGAACACCGGCCGGCCUUUCCAAUACUUGAAUGUUGCUGUGUAGUAUGGGGUAAAUUAGUAGUAUAACUUUGAUAUAAAUAAAUGUCAGUUUGUCAACUCAUCAUACGAUUAAAUUGAAGAAAAAAAUCACAAUGAUUAUACUAAAGUUGUACGAGUUUACGUUAAAAGUGGUAAAAAUUACAUGAAGAACAACUGAACAAAAAUCAACCAACAGGACAAGCCUCUGAUUCUGGCAUGAUGGCUGGGCAAUUCGAGAGAGAAAUUUGAUUAUGUAGAGGAAAGUUUCAGUUUCACUGCACAGGCGAUUAACAUUCUUUAGCCAAAUGAUUAGUUCUUCAUCCGUGCAGUUAUGGCAGACAAGGAAAUUGUGCGCUUUUUGGAAGAUGAUCAUGAUAUCUUUGUCAAAAGUAGAAGUGAUCAUUUUUAAAUUUAACUGGUUUAGGCAAAUAUUAAGCCCAUGACAUCUCUUUACGGUGCUCACCCCUCUACAGAAUAAGUUGAAGAUUCCUAACUUUUUCUUUCUAUAGAAAUAUAUAUAUAUAUAUAUAUAUAUAUAUAUAUAUAUAUAUAUAUGGAUUUUCUAUAUCGAAAGCUCAUGACCUCCUCUAAACUAUUCGACAGCAUAAAGGGGCCCUAACCCUCUUCGAAAUUUGUUCAAUUUUUAUGGGUAGAUAGCGUAUUAGAAAUAUUCAGUACUAUUUCUUCCGUCUUCCUUAUUUUUGAUACAAGAAAAAAGAGCCUAGAAAAUGUUCUCCCAACAAAUAUAUUUACAGAAGAUCUUGCUAGCAAGAAGGGGUUUAUUAAUUAGUCUCGUAAACCCCAGUCUUGAUAUCUUUUUACCUCUUGGCUGGAAAUGCAAGAGAUGCGUUCCAACACAGAGCGAUAAAAUUCACUUAAUAAGGAUGUUUUCUCCCCACUCUUGUGGUGGAGACACAAUAUUCUUGCAAUUCCCCCUUUUAAUACACGACAAUGACCUAAAUUAUAUAUCCCUCCAAAAGCGAAAAAUCACAAUUAUGGAUUUUAUUCUUUCUUGCAAGAUGAAAAAAAAGAAGACAAUAAACCAGAAUGAGUUUGUACUUCAAUGGUGCUGCUGACAGUGACUUGUUUACUCCAUAAAUAUGCUUUGAAACUGGAAAAUGUGGUUUUAGUAGUUACAACAUCAACAUGCAACACCUACUAUAAAUCUUUUUUUGUAUCUGGAAGAAGAUGCACGCAAUAUAUAUAUAUAUAUAUAUAUCUUUAAAUUCUUGUCAUAAGGGGUUGAGAAAAAUCUAGUAGGUGGUGCAAUGCUUAUUACAAAAAGAGUAAGAAAGAGAAAAAAAGAAAAAGAUUGUCAACGCUGUGUUUUACCCUAGUACAAAUUACUUGAUUCCUGAGAAGCUUCUAAAAGAGGAGAGACAGAGGAUAAAAGUUUGCAUGCAAAGGGCCAUUGUGCUUGAGAGGACGAUGCACGUAAUGCUUUUUUUUUUUUCACAGAAGAACCAAUCCUAUUGUGUAAUGUAAUGAUGCUCUAGCCUCUUAUUAAGUGCGAUUAAUGUUCAGAGUAAUCGGAUGGAUUCCUUCAGCUGCUUUUUGUGGUAAAGUUAAAAGUAAAACUAACUUCAAAAGCAAGAAUCAACUGCUACUUUUAUGAGAAAACUCCUCCGCCAUCCUGCAAUGCAAAAUUGUGAUCACUAAUCAGUCGACGCCACAUUGAAAAGGGUUCUAAUGAAUCACAUCACCUAUCAAAAUGGCCCUUAUUGGAAUAUCAUUUGGAUCGUGAGUCACCUUUGCCUCCUAUUCAUGAUGAACCAAUCGUGACCAUUCUUUUUCUUCUUCGUUUCUUGUUUUCCUUGGAAGCCCUUUUUACCAUACGGUCCAUAGCGAUAGCGUUACUAAAAUCUUGACCUUCUAAAAGCUCUCUCCACUAAAUCUGGUAGCUUGUAGGGUUGUUGCCUUUGUUGGAAGUGCUUUUUCCUUUUCCUUUUCUUUUCUUUUUUGGCGUAAUAAAGUAUUAUAAUCGAAUUGUCGUCAAUUAAUUCUAUAAUAUUGCAAAAGCAUUCAACCGUUCAUGUGGUAGGUCAGCUAAGUAAGGUAGUUAAAGACAGUCGAAUCUAUUCAGGGGAUACAGCCUGUAACUUUAUGAGGCAAAACUUCCACUGAUCACGGAGGAAUUCUUCUGAGUACCACACGCCUCUCCACAAUCUUUUGCUAUUAACUUCAAAGCAUUUCCUCUCAACAAUGAAUUUUAAGUUUCAUAGCCUAAAUCAUUGUGUUGCCUUUAGCCAAUUUAUGCCUCUUCUUUGCAGUUGCUGCUUGUUGGGGCUUCCAGUUACACAAUCGCUCUUGAAGGUUGUGGGAAUAUUUUUUUUUUCCCUUUUUUGAGUUAAAUAUCUUUCGCAAUUAUGCUCUGAACUGGUACCAUUCGAAAUCAAUAAUGCUUUUCUGAUUGGAUUGGAUUCUUCAUUCAUCCGUCCGUUGAUUUCUUUUCAUUCUUUUCCUAAACAAACAGUAGUAUUCAUCAGUAGUCAACUUAUUGUGAUCCAACUAAGAAGAUUUGCUGUUUGGGUUAAAGUCAAAAUAAGAUAUGAUUAAGAAUAUGAUUAUGAGUUUGAGUGCAAUGGGUGGGUACAAUGACUUCAUCAUUUGUGAUCGUAUACUUAAUUGGUGAACAAUUAAGUGGUUCAUUGACCUCAGUUGUAUAUCACCAACUGCCCAUGCGUGCAGCCAUCCCCAUUUAUUGGAUAUUGGUCGAUAUACAAGUAUGCAAAUGCAACCACAGAAAUAGGAUUCCCAAAAUUAUAUAUAUAUAUAUAUAUAUAUAAAAAGAGAGAGAAAAAUAUAUAUAUACUAUAGCUGGGAGGUCAGAGUUGACUUGAUCAAAACUUUAAGAACGUAAGAGAAUACCAUUCCAUGCCCAUUGAGGUACCAAAAUAUAGUACUAUUGGAGGAAUCUCCAUCCAAAAUUACCAAAAAUUUCAAAAGAUUUUUCCAGAUCGUUAACAACUUUGAGGACCAUAUCCUCUUGGUUCUUGGCCCCAGUGAUGGCAGAAUCAUUCCUAAAAUUUGACAUUGCCAACGGUGAAAAUAGUAUAUGUGCUCCAUGAUUUCGUAACAAAAACGAUCAUUCACUGAAAAAAAGAACGUAUUCGAUCGAUAAGGAAUAAGUAGCUAGGUACACCAGAAUUGUUCUCUAAAAUUACAUUCUAUGUUCUUCCUUUGCUAGAAAGAGACAUUCCAUCGAGUACUUAAUGCAUGAGAUAUUAAUAGACAUAUUGGUUUUACCCAAUAAUCCUUUCUUAAUUUAAAAAGAUCUGUCUAGCGAGCGCUCCAAACUGGGUACUCAUUAAAGAUUUUAUUCAGGUGUUAAAUUUUUAAAAAGCAUACAUAAUUAAAAAAAAGUGUAUAAAAAUAAGGGAUGCCCGUGAUUAUUAUUACUGUUACGUUCGCAUGAUAAGUUAGACGUGAUUUAAGCGUGCUAAUGAUGCAGCCAAUUUUCAUGGUUAGAAAAUGCCAAUUUAAAAGGACAACAACAGAGAAAAAGUUUAGUCCAACAGCCUUAACUUGAAACAUGAAGACGCAGAACAGGGACAAGCAUAUCAGCAUUUGGAUUGCGUACGGGCUAGAAUCGUGGAAAUUGACGGUCCAAGUAUGAUCUGAACGGAACCUCCCAUGUUCAGACAACAGCGCCUGAGAAAGCUUGUCACGGGGAAUUACUAUUGGGAUGAAUCACAAACCAGCCAUGGAAAUGCACAGACAAUCCUUUGAUGGGAAACUGUAAAUUUAGACUAUCGAUCUUCUUUGAAGAUGCCUCUAAUCAUCCUGAAAUUAAUUGGAUGCAUUUCAUUUUUGGCUUCCGUUUGUAUUGAUAUUGACAUCUCCAAUAUUCAACUCAAUUUGCCUUUUUUUUUUAGAGAAAAAAAAAAGAUUUUCUGGAUCCAUAUCUUAUCCCCCAAAAUCCCCAGAGGGAUAAUUCGUUAAUUUGAACGAAUCUGGGAAUAACAAAAUAAAAUGCGAGCAGAGGAAAAAGCCAAAUUGGGAUUUGAACAUGGAAGAAAGAGCCAAAAGAUACAACAUGGGGAACCAGAAUACUGCAUGUGCAUCUGCUUUCGUUGGAGCCGUAAAUAACCUUGCAAUCGUUUUCAAAGUACAAAUUGCAUUCGCCGGAGAUUAAAUACCAUUUCUUUUUUAUCUUAAGAUCUUUUCGUGCGAACAAGACGUAGAGUCUAAAAUUACUCCACGUAGUUAAUCCCAAAAAAAAAAAAAAAACUUACUCCAUAUUCAGUAUUUCAAUGCAAUUUCACAUUUAUUUGCUGGGUAAGAUUCCAAUGUCACGUCUUGAUGUUACAACUUAAACCAAGAAAAAAUAUCCAUGCCAUGCAAAAUUUGCGUACAAACUUAUUGAACAGUAAAGAAUCACUUAUGGUGUGCACCGUAUUCCUAUUCCUUUUAUAGGGACCGCGGAUAUAUAUAUCUUCAGUAUUUGCAUUUCAUUUUCAUCAACAUCUCCUACAUAUCAAUUUUUUUCCACCUAUAUUUUCAAAUGAUUAAACCCCAAAAUAAAGUAGUACUCGAAGUUAAUUUUCACUAAAAUUACCUGGACUUGCGAUAAGAAAUGUUCGGUGGACAGAGUACUUAAAUUUAGAGAACAAAAUCCAAAUCCAGCACCAUUUUCUCUAUAAGCCUGCAAAACCAGUAGGAAAUGUGUAUAUAUAUAUAUAUAUAUAUAUAUAUAUAUAUAUAUAUAUAUAUAUAUAUAUAUAUAUAUAUAAUUUAUAGAAUGUAGUGAACCGGUUAUACGCCAAUUAAAGGUGUAAACGAGUCUAAUUAAAUCGAAUGCCGUGCUAUUCAAGUUUGUUUGAUUAUUUUAACGAAUUUGAAAUUUUCUUCAGGUAUGAUUUGUUUAUUUAUCAAAUUGAACUCGAGCGACCUUUUUUAUCGAGUUUAAAUAUUACGAUCUAACAUAAAAUGUUGCUUAAUUUUGAUUUGACUAAACCUAUUAAUUGGGUCAUCUGAGGUGAAAUUUAACAAGUCCAAACUCGGCUAAUAUAAUUAGUACCACUUUCCAAAUUCAAAUUAUGAGUUUCGAAUUAAUAAAUGUGAAACUCAUACUCAGUUCACAAAAUAUUCGAGUUGUGAGUCUAUUUCGAGUUUAACAUAAAUUCACUUAUUGUUCCUUAAUUUCUUUAAUAUAAUUACUAUAACUAGUAAGUUCUAGAGCUAAUUUAACAUCCACAGGUUGCAACAUUAAAACUAUACAUAAUUUAAAAAUAGUUUGUUAAAAAGUAUAUAAACCAAGAAUUUUUCAAAAAUAAUGUAUCAAAUUAGUUCAAAGUACAUGGAAAAUAGUAAUAAAGCAUAAUCAACAAUCAAAACAUCUUCAAAAGUCAUUAAUUUGCUUGUACUAAGAUUUGUCUUUUUGAAUAUUUUGACAUAAUUUUGUAUAUUUAAUAUUUCUUAUAUGUAUUAAUAUAUUUUGAUACAUAACUCAUAAGUAUAAAGUAUUAGCAUUAGUAUUAUAUAUACAUAGGCAUAUAUUAUGCAUAGUUAUAUAUAUAUAUACACACAUUCGGAUUAAAGGGUUGGAUCUAAUAAGGCGCAAACUCGGCUCAUAUUUAAUUAAGACUUAAUAUUUAGGUCCAAAUUCAACGCACACUCAAUGAAAGAUUAGGUUUAUCAAGUUUUUUCUCAAGUCGAGCGAAUCUGAGUUUGAGCUGGCCCAACUUCAUUGACUAGACAAUUCUUGAUUUGACCAGCUCACAAACAAAACUCGAACGAGUUCUUCUUAUCAAUCCAAACUCCACUCAGACUAUCAAGUAAUUUGGUUCAUCUUUUAAUCCUAAUAUCAAUCACAAAUUAACAAAAUACCAUGUGCAAUAACUCUUAAUCUAGUAUAUGUUUUCAGUAAUCAGUUGAAAAUUAUAGAUACUAGUAUGAAUUAUGAUUUUGAAUCCCUGCACUCCAAUAAUGAAGUAGCCACGAAAGAAUGAAACUAAACUAAGCCCUCCCCACUUGCUCUUAGCCCGGCCUUUAACUAACACUAAGAGUAACCAAAAUAGGGGGCAUGGGAAUUUGAGAGGUCACAGUUGAGAAGAGUGAAGGUCUGGUGCUCUGCAGACUUUUGUGCAUUUGGAUAUUAAAUGAGAGGAAUUAUUUUUCUCAAUAUGUUUUAAAUCAUGCAGGUACUUUUCAUUAAUUUCUCUUUAUCACAGCAGAUAUCGUAUCCGAUUCGUUGAUCCUGUAUUCUACCGGCCGUAAUAAAUCGGCUGAACCAUAAAGCAAAUUGAAAUUAAUGGAGUGGAUGGUGUUGCCCGAGCUUAUUUAUGCUGCAUUUACUAGAAAAUCUUUUUGUGUCUCUCUUUUAUUGGAAAAAUAGCCACUUUUUGGGAUACUUUUUUUUUUUCUCCGUCGAUAGAGUGAUGGUAUCUCCAAUAUCCAGAAUUGCUUUACAUGUGUCAAGCAGCUGUAGCAUUCAAUUCAAUUUGUUUUUUUCUUUUGCUUUAUUCUUUUUUUUUUUUUGGGUUGUUCUCAAUCCUUGUUCUCUCAAUUUCACAAAAGAUUCUUCUAAACUACUGAAUUGCUUAGCAUAAUAACACGUAGGCGUAAUCGAGUACAGUCGAGAUUAUUACCCUGUUAGUAAAAUGCGAUGAAGAAUAAGAAAGUUAGAUAAAUAAAUUGUUAAACUAGGCCUCAGUCAAUAGUAAAACAAAAUUAAUUUCGAAGGGCCUAAAAUCAUUUGUUAGUUCUUGUCGCCUGCCAUGUUACAUUUUCAUUGUUAUCCACGAGAAAGAAAGGGCAAACUAAAAUCUCCUUAAUUGAAGUUCAGUUAAAAAAUUAAUUACUCCAAUUUUUAAUUAGGGUUAAGAUAAACAAAUACAGCCGGGGCCAAAAAAGAAAAAAGAAAAAAGAAAAAAGCAAGGAAGAAAUCAUAUCAUAAAAGAACAAAAGAGAGAAAAGGGGGGCUGGGUCUCUGCGGCAAAUGGUCGUUGCUCUGAGUGUAGUCAGCUUGCAUGUGCUGAGAAUGGAAUAUGUUUUUUGAAUUCUCAAAAUUCAAAAAGAGGAAAAUCCACCCAAGGCCCCACUUGCUUUUGUCAAAUUUCCCAUCCACAAAGCACCAAAACCACACGCUUUCUAACAAUAAAAACCACCCCCUCACUCCUACCCUUUUUGAAAUUGCCUUUAUUGUACCAUCAAACCUUCAUUAUAUGUGGCUUGAUAUUUAAAUGGUUUAAAAUUUGUACGCGUGUGUAAUGCAUUUAUUUGAUUUAAUUGAAGUUCAAUUUUUGCCAGUCCUCAAUUGACCUAGUUGAAUUCUCCUCUUAAAAUAAAUUAAAAUAAAAGUACGAAUAAAUAUAGAAUAGACUAAUGACGAUUGUUUAAAAAACAAAAAAUAGUAGUAUACAAUUUCUUUAUCUUUCUCUUCCAUUUUUUUUUUGCGGGAGGUUAUGUACCUAAACAGUUGCUGGUCCCCAGCCCCAAAAAAAAAGAAAAAAGUGUCAGUUAGUUGUUACCUUACCGUAGCUUACAGAACCAGCAGCCCAUCUCUAAACUCCUAUUUAAACCCCUCUCCAACACCCAUUUUCUUCCCACCACCGUCUCCAUUCUCUUCUUCACAAACUCUCUCCGCUUCCUUCUUUCUCUCUGCUCAAUUGCCAAGUAUGUAUCUUUCUGCUACAUUCUCGUUUUUUAAUAUAAUUCUCGCAAUGUUCAGAUCAGAUGAGCUGAGAAAUAAUAUGCUACAUUUGCAAUUGUUGUAAUUUUUUUGGCUUUGGCAAGCAAAAUGUUAAAUUCUAAUAGCUAAAUUUUGUUUUUUGAUCUGCAGAAUCAAAAUGGCUGCUACUGGGUUUUUGUUGGUUGGACUUCUUGCAAUGGUCAGCAGUGUUCACGGAUACGGAGGGUGGAUUAAUGCUCAUGCCACCUUUUAUGGAGGGGGCGAUGCUUCUGGAACAAUGGGUAUGCACCGGUUUAGAAACUUGCCUUCUUCUGGCCUGCAUGUUAAGAGGAUUUCCACAGAUCUUGAUAAUUUUUUUCCGGUUCUUGUGCACACAGGUGGGGCUUGUGGCUAUGGAAACUUGUAUAGCCAGGGGUAUGGUACAAACACUGCAGCACUGAGUACAGCUCUGUUCAACAAUGGGUUGAGCUGUGGAUCUUGCUUUGAGAUUAGAUGUGUGAAUUCUAAAUAUUGCUUGCCCGGUGCCAUUCUGGUCACAGCCACCAAUUUCUGUCCUCCAAACAAUGCCCUGCCUAACAAUGCAGGGGGAUGGUGCAACCCUCCCCUGCAGCACUUUGACCUCUCCCAGCCCGUUUUCCAGCGCAUGGCUCAAUACAGAGCUGGAAUUGUCCCUGUUGCUUAUAGAAGGUAUGCUAAGCAAAAUUCUUCAAAUUUAUGAAUUUUUUCCAUUGAAAAAACUUUUUGACCGAGGAGAAUUUUGUAACUUGGCUACCACAUGGGCCUCAUCCAUGCUACUCACUCACUUGACUGACUGGUAAAAAGUUGUAGUAAAACGGCAAACCUGAAAGGUUUUGGACUUAAAUCUAGUGGUUACGUUGUUUAGAAAUGGAUGGUAGGACCAUACGGUAAUAAAUUCUUGCUUCUAUUUUCUUGUGAUGUUCCCAUCACUAUAAUGAAUGACCACGAGGACUUGUACAGUUUGUAGUAUUUAAGCAUUCUUUCCUAUGACAGUCACAUGGGCUGUGGUAAAACCUUCUACUAAUGGAGAAAUUGACAGUAGUAGACUAGUAUUUGUGAUAUGAUAUGAACCCUGUUGACGAAACGGAACGAAAUUCGCAUUAACAAGCCCCGGAUCGAUGGUGAUCGACACGAAACUUGAUUCUCGGACUUGAAUGUGAAUCCGGAUCUUCUUGUUCUCAUCAAUUUGAUUCUUCACUUCUUUAAUGGUAUUUCUCUCCUGCCUUCUUUUAAUGGGUUUUUUUUUUUGUUUUUUUAUGUGUAGGGUGCCCUGCAGGAGAAGGGGAGGCAUAAGGUUCACAAUAAACGGUCAUUCCUACUUCAACUUGGUGUUGGUCACCAAUGUUGGUGGUGCUGGUGACGUCCAUUCGGUGGCAAUCAAAGGGUCCAGAACUGGCUGGCAGCAAAUGUCAAGAAACUGGGGUCAAAACUGGCAGAGCAACUCCUAUCUUAACGGGCAGAGCCUCUCAUUUAAGGUCACCACAAGUGAUGGCCGCAGCGUAGUGUCCUACAACGCUGCCCCUGCUGGUUGGUCCUUUGGGCAGACUUACACCGGUGCCCAAUUCCGCUGAAGCUCUCCCGCUCCUGCUUCAUUUAAUACUCCUCUUUUUUUUUUUUUUUUAGCUAUUACUAUGAUUUGGUAGGGGGGCUUGAUAUACUUUAUGUGGUCACUGGUCACUAGUAUUAGUAUUGUGACUAUUUUUCUUUUCAAUUUUUCAUUUCACUAGGCAAUAGGGAUCCGUCUCAAGUUGCCUUGACGACUUAUUAGUAUAGUAUAAUUGAGGGAAGAUAAGUAGUACUCCACUAUAUUUUAGGCAGGGUAUUGGCCCUACAGGGGGGAAAUGAGGAGGGCAUAUUUUAAGAUUGUCCCUCUCCCAUUUUGUGGGGUGUCCGUUUUGGAGACCUUAAAACUUCUUGGGGUCUUUAGUUUUUUUUUUUUUUCCUUCGGUCCGUUAUGAGGCAGAAGAAGAAGAUGAUUGGGCAGAGGUGGACUAUAACCACCCGCCUUUAGUAUGUGCUUUUUUUUUUUUUUUUUGGGGGGGGUUAUUAUAUCUUUGUCUAGUUGGGAUUUGAUCUUCUUCUUCAGCAUCCAGCCGGAGUUGUACCAUGUGGUGGUUAAUUUCUAUGGAAGUGCAAUUGUAAAUCCGAUUUGAAUAUCAAUGAAGGAGUGUUUUAAUUUCUACCGACAACUUCUUUCGUACCAUCCCAAAGUGAUGGAUUGAUUUAGGUUCAUUCUUUUGAUGAAAUUAGUCCCAUCUCACAUGGUUUAGACUCCGAAAAAAAAAAACACAAAACGUUUGGAAGACAAGAACCAUCAUGUGUAAUGCUAAAUUCGCCGACUAGUAAAUUGUGUACUAAACCAGUGACCAGACCAUGGCUUUUGAUGCAGAAUCAAUUCCUCCUACAACAUGAUCUGUCUCAAGUGCUGAUGAUAUUUUUAGUUUUUAUUCUCGACUAGUAGUGCUGAACAGUUCUGUUCUUUAAUUGUCUCAGCAAAAUUCAAUUUGACGAAAAUAACUUGUCGAUUAUAAUCCUUUCUUCACAUGACUGUACAAUUUGCGGCAGCAUUUCACUUCGAUACAUCGUUGUCUCGACCUCUGAUACUUGUCCGUUUCAAUGAACUACAAGAAUAAAAAAGAUUUACUGCCUGCCCUAAACCAAUUUUACCGUGGAGAAUGUCUGCAACCAUUUGCCCAAAGGAAAAUUAAUAAUAAUAAUGAGAUAAUAUACUCCAUAAAAUUUGCUCAGAAUCAAACUUUUUUCUUAGUUAAUGUUGACCGGUUUCGGAAGUGGACUUCACUCUUGUUUUCUUAUAAAUGGAAAUCGCCAAAGAAAAAGAAUCAAAAAAUUGAUUGGUACUAUGUAAGUUUGCUUUCAAUUUUUUACUAUCAUUUAGAAUCCAAAAGCAUCCCCAACUCCACAAAACUUGGAAAUGGAAUUGCAGAAAAAGUUUAGUAGACAAAGAUCCUCGUGGUCACGCUGCAAGAUUCUCUGCCUUCCCACCCAAACUCAAAUCGGGGGUUGAGGGAUUUUUGGUGGUUGGGCACUUGGGCGGACCAGUGAUGAAAUUCUAGUCUUUUGACCAUACUACAAGACUAGAAUUUAGUUACAGUGAUGAAAUUAAGACUAAUAGGCAACACUAAUGCAAGACUACAGCUAAUUGAUACUUGCACAUAAUAGGAACUCAAAACUUGUGAUACUUGGGCCAUAAAUUAUAAAACCAACAAUAACUUUACUUUAAUUUAUAUAUUGUAGUUGUAAUUUCAAUUAAUGAAAGGGAAGACACAUUAUAUCUUUUUUUUUCUAUAUGUUUUUCUAAUAGGGAAUGGUUGGAAUUUAAAAAGUAGAAAGGGCAUCCGAAAAUUAGAACUUAAAACCUCCACUUUCCGUGAGACAAAUUAUCUCUAGCUAUUCUCUUAACGAAUCAUGUCGUGGUUGUCUUGACGUGACUCUUUGAUAGUAACAAUUAAAAACUCAUUUGGAUUGUAGUUUUUCAAAUAAUUUUUUAUUAAAAAAAUUAUUAUAACACUUUUUUGAUUGCGUCCAAUAUAUAACAAGUGUGUCAAAAGAAUCAUUGAAGAUUUCUAAGGACACUUCAGGUGAAAAUGAUUAGAAAAAAUUGAAAUUGUAAAAAGAAAAAAUUCAUCCUUCAAGUUCAACCUAGAGACCCACGUUAACCAAAAUUUCAAUCAUCUGGAAUCGUUUAAAGUACUAUACCUGUUUAAAUCAAAAGUCAUGUUCUAGUAGUUUCACGUUCACCCUGUGGGGUUUUCUAUCCCACGUCGGCUUGGGGGUUGGGGUGUUUGGAUAAAUAAGUCCCUCGCAGGACUUCAAAAGUUGCCGGCUUUUAAAGUUACUGUGGGGAUUAGGUUUAUUUGCAAAAACAUGCUUAUUUCUGUAAGAAAAUAUAAGAAAACAGAAAACUCAUUCUCAGGGAUUUGGGGGUAGUUACUUCUUAGCAGCAGGGCACCCUGUGGGGUUUUUUAUCCCACAUCGGCUUGGGGGGUUGGGGUGUUUGGGUAGAUAAGUCCCUCGCAGGACUUCAAAAGUUGCCGGCUUUUGAAGUUACUGUGGGGAUUAGGUUUAUUUGUAAAAAUAUGCUUUUUUUUUUUUUUUCGAAACGAUAGAUGUUCUAUAACUUAAUCUAGCCUAGUCUAAGGGGAAGGGGAGGGGGUUCGAUGUGAGUACAGACUCUAUCGAUGAAGGUCAAUUAAGACCGUCACAAAUUGUGAUAAAUUUGUGGGAGGCAGGGAUUGAACCCCUGACCUCCAGCAUCACCUUUAAUGGUGAUGACCACCGGACCAAAUGGCCAGUGAUAAAAAUAUGCUUACUUCUGUAAGAAAAUGUAAGAAAACAGUAGUUUCACGUUCACUUCCUUCGAAGUUUGAACGUCAAAGAUGGCUUUAAAUUGAAAUGAAUUUUGGGGAAAAGCAAAGGAUCCUCAAAGCUCAAAGAGUCCAAACUCCAAAGCUAAUAACAAACUCGGGUGGAGAAAACGGGCGGGAAAUGAGGUGUGGGUCUCGGACUCCGGCGGGAAAGCCCAUGUCCUAAGCCUGACAAUGACUAGUCAAACCUCAGACUUUUCGUCUCACUUUUCUGAUUUUCUCUACGAACAGUUUGAUCAGUCUGUCAUAUCAUCAUAUGUAAGAAAACUUUCUCCACAAUCUAGAGUCCCGUGACUAUAACAUGCUCUCUGCCUCGGACGCAACUCUUUUGCCACACAAGCAAAUUCUCCUUGCUCAAGGCUUCAUCUUCGAGCCCCCAAAUAAGCUAUAACCCACCAUGGCUUCUCGCUCUUGGUUAAAGCUAUGCCUGAUUGCCUUCUACUGGUGCGACUACUACUUGGUAGUUGGUACUAUGCGACUAUCUAAUUUUUAAUUCUCUAGUUAGUUAUUACCGGUGUCCAAACAAGGCGUCGUAAUUACUACAUUCGUCCCAUUUUCAUAGUUCUGAUUUUUUUCACAUAAUUUUUAAAAAAAAUUAAUUAACUUUGUUGGAAGAAUAAAUGUAACUUACUAUCUUCCUAAAAGUUUAAAGUUAGGUGAUACUCAAUAAUAAUUUACAUUAAAUAAGGGUAUUUUAGAGAAAUUUAAAAUUAACUAUAUUUUAGAAAGUGGAUUAUAAUUUUGGAUGGAUGAAAAGGGAAAUCAAGCAUAUCAAAGUGAGAUAGAGGGAUUAUAAUUCUUAAUUAAUUUUUAAUUUUUUUAACAACUAUUUUAUCUCACACAUGUUAUAUCAUAAAAAGUGUUAUAGUAAUUAUUUCAAAUAAUCUCCUAUUGAAACAUAUUUCGAAAUUUUCCUAAUUUUCUACACCGGCACAUGCUAGUGUUUUAACCCUUUUUCUUAGGUAUAAUUUCAGAAAACCUCUAUUGAGGUUUCUAAUAGUUUUCACUUAGCGCACUUUAACUUUAAAAAAUACCACUUACUUUCUCUACUUUUAACAUUUUGUAAUAUUAGCAACCUAUUUCAAAAAAAUAAAUAAAAAGUGAGUCUUUUUUUUAAAGACCAUUUCUAAAGUUGCUAAUGGUUUGGUACUUGAUUCAUAUCAAAACAUUUUUACACGGACUUGACUUGUUGCAUUCAGAUGCAAACUUUCACUGGGUUCUUAAAAACUGUGUUAUAAAAAUCACUACAAUAGCACAAAGCUUUUCAAAAGAUUAUGUGAAGAAGCUAUUUGCAAUAGUAUACUACAUUGAUACUUUUUAUCAUCAUCUGAUGUACUUAAGAUAAAAAUGUAGUUAAAAAUAUAAAAGAGUAAUUGAAAAACGUAUUUAUGAUGCAAGCAAAAUAUUACUAUUUAGAAAACAUUUUGGUAUCCAAAAAUUAUCAAUGAGAAAUUAAAGAGCCAAUUUUUGCAAAUUAUUGUCAACCUUCCACAAAUUAAGACUAAUUUUAACAGCUGUAUUAUGCAAUCAUAGACUUACAACCCACAAGGCCAGACAAUUUCUUUUUAAAUUCUAUACUGGGCCAUUCGGUGGCAAUCAAAGAGUCCAAAACAUACGUCAAGAGACUGGGCCGAAAAUUGGCAAAGCAACACCUAUCUUAAUGGCAAAAGCCACUCAUUUAAGGUCACUUCAAAGUGAUGGCCACGGUGUUCUACGAUGUUGCCGCUGCUGGCUGGUCCUGUGGGCAGACUUACACCGGUGCCCAAUUCCGGUGAAGCUAUCCUGCAUCAUUCAUGUGAGUACUAUUUUCCUAGUCGGACUGGGAGGGAAUGAGAAGGGGCAGGAAGGGGUAAAAGAAAAAUGGUCAUUAUCACUUUAUAUUUGAUUUCAUUAUUAAUUACUCCCUUAACGUUACAUCUCCCUUACUUUACUUUCAAGACUAAUGGUUAAAUUUAAUGAAAUUUAUUAAUUCAAUUGAGAAUACAUAUUUAACCCUUAAAAUUGUUAUCACAUUUCCCGCAUAUAUUAUAGCAUUAUUAUCAACUUACAUUCUAGAGUUAUUUUUUAUGCAAUUUAUUCCACCGUUAAACCAAUUUAGCAAGUUAAAGAAUUUUAGAAGAAAGUACCCUCCUCCUUGUACAAUAAAAAUAGUAAAAAAUUUAGAGUGACUUUUCUUCUUUUUAGUUUUUCUUUUUAGAAUCAAGAAAGCAAAUUCAAAACAUUAAUCUCUUUCUAUUAAUAAUGAAAAAAAUAGAAAUAUAGAAGGGGGAGAGAGAGAGAGAGCUCAAUUCUUUUUUUUUUUUAAAAAAUAGUACAAAUAAAAAGAAUUCAAUUUUUUUUAUUUUAAAAUUACUUUACGUUUUUAUGUACCUUCAAAUUCCAAUCCUAAUCCCAACGAUGUUAAAGUAAUAUGAUAAUAUUAUAUUCAUACUUAUUUUCUUUCUUUGCAAAAUGUAAUUUUCUAUUUCCUUCUCUUCUAUCUCUUUUUCUUUUCCUAAUUUGGAAAAUUCUUUUAUUUUUAUGCUUUUGGAACACUUAAAGUGAAAAAAAGGAAGAAUAAUCAUUCCAAUUUUUUAUUUUUAAUUAUAUAUAUAAAAAAAGGUAAAUAGAUUAAAAUUUUUUUGAAUAUAUUAGUUAGGUUAACGGUGGGGUAAAAUACCUAGAAAAUAAUGUUAUGGUAUAAAUUGAUUGUAUCACUAUAAUUUAAAGGGAUAAAGUAGUGAUAAUAAUAAUAAUGUAAUAAUGCUAUAAAAUAAAAGGGUAUUUUUAUUCAAAAUUUGUUAACAUACUGAGUUGAAUUACCUAUGAGGUUAAAGUGAUAAAAGAUAGUAUUAGGAUAGUAAAUAGAUAACAGUAAUAUAGUUUAAAGAAGUAAAGUGAUAAUGACUCUAAAAAAUAAAAAAUAAAGGUGGGGAGGAGAGGCAAACUUGCAGCCAAUGGAACUUGCGAGGACCUAUUUGCCACGGGGCGCCCGUUGCAUCUUGGCAGGUUGAAGCCUAGCAUUUGCUAUGUCAUUUUACCUAGAGUUUUUAAUGAAUCAAACUAUUUGCAAAUGUGUUUGUGUUUAACUUGUUCGAAUUCGAAAAAAGUUUGAUCGUUUAAUAAAUGAAUCGACUUCAAACAUAAUAUUAUACUUGUUUAAUAAUCAAAUCAAUUAUAAACAUGUUCAUGAAUCAUUCGAAUAAUUCAUGAAUACAUAUAUAAUUAUGAAAAUAAAUAUAAAUACAUUUAAUAUUAUUAAAUAUAUAUUGUAAUUCACUAAAAAAAGUAUUUAUACAUACAUUAGCAUUAUUUAUUUUUUAAAAAUCAAUAAGUACAAUUAAACUUAUUCUAAAUAAUGUAUUAUUUAUUAAAAAUAUAAUUAGAUCAACUUCAAAAUCAAAUUUGAGCUCGAAUUUGGCUCAUUUAUGAGUUAGAAUCUGAACUCAAAUAUUUAUACAAAUAAACUCAAAUUCAAACAAUAUUUAUAAUUAGUUAAUAUUCGAAUCCAAUUACUCGUUGAAAGCUAUCCCUAUCGAUUCGGCUCACUAAAAGCUCUUGUUUUACCAUUUAAAAAAAAAAAAAAACUCUUGUUUCACCCGGCUCCUAUCCUUUGACUGCCAAUAGUUCAGUUCAGUGAUGAUACUCCGAAUGCAGCUGCUUCUUCCUCAGCCCCUAUCUCCCCACUACUCUUCCUCCUCCACCACCGGCUUAAACCCCAUUUCCACUCCCAAACCCCUCAUUUCCCGAAAAGCCCUCAACUCCCACCACACCCCCACCACCACAACAGUUGACUCCGGAUUAAAAUUCCGGGAGAAAAUCCUCUACCUCGAAUCCCUCAAAGUCAAUCCCACAAAAGUCCUCCAGAAAAAUCCAAAUCUCCGUUCUGCCCCUCUCUCCUCUCUCCAAUCCGUCGAGCACUGCCUUUCUUCCAUGGGGAUAGAGCAGUCUGCCCUAGGCCGCAUUCUUGACAUGUUCCCCCAGCUCCUCACAGCUGACCCCAGCAAUCAAAUUUACCCUGUUUUCGAGUUUCUGUUAAACGACGUCGAAAUCCCUUAUUCCGAUAUCCGUAAAUGUAUAAUCAGAUGCCCCAGAUUGUUAGUCAGUGGUGUCGAGAGUCAGUUAAAACCCGCGCUUGAAUUCUUGAUAAAAUUGGGUUUUGUUGGCGCCAAUAGAAUCACUUGCCAAACCACUGUUUUAUUGGUAUCCAAUGUAGAUCAUACCUUAACUCCCAAAAUUGAUUUCUUGAUGGGGUUGGGAUUUGAGUACAACGAGGUGGCGAAGAUGGUGAUCAGGUCACCUGCGCUGUUGACAUUUAGCAUAGAGAAUAAUUUUAUGCCGAAAUUGGAGUAUUUCUUGGAGGAAAUGAACGGGGAUUUGGAGGAGCUGAAGAGAUUCCCGCAGUAUUUUUCGUUUAAUUUAGAGGGGAAGAUAAAGAAAAGGCACCGGAUUUUGGUGGAACACGGGUUGUCAUUGCCGUUAUCAAAGAUGUUGACAGUGAGUGACGGGGAGUUCAAUGCCCGGUUGAUUGAAAUGCAGUUGGAAUUAGUAGAGGAAAGGCAGUUGUAGUAAGUUGGCUCUGAUUUUUCAGUUCUGUUUAGAUGUAAAUUUUGGUGAAGACAGCCCAAUGUCAAGUAUAUUUUUGUUCAUUGUUUGUUAAAAAUUUGCACUUUAGUCAGCUGUAUGUUCGUUUACACAAAAAAGAUAAGGUCUUCCUUUCCUAAAAGAUGAGUUUGAUAGCUAAUUCAUACGCUUGGCUUAAUGUUUUGGUCCUUUUGUUACUGUGCUUAUUGUGUAAUUAUAUGGAUGGUCGGACAUUAUUGGACAGAUUAGAGUGGCUGAAAUGAUUUUGGUUGCUUAUAAUAAAGAUUUUGAGUAUUGUCGAUGUCCAUAUUAUACAGGGCUAAUGUCCAUAAUAUACAGCUGGUAUAUAACCAUCCACGGUUUAGAGAGAAUGAGAGAGGGAGUGUGAGGUAGAGAGACAUCGAUCCUUUCAGCGCAAGCAUCAAGCGUUCAAGUCUUUUGUGAAUCCUCAUAUAUUCAUUCCUAGAAAACAUACACGACAAAAUAUCAAAAUAGUUUGUCUUUGUAAAUCAGUGCCACAUUGGAGAAAUCUGACUUUCUAUAUUCUUACAGUCCUCAGUUCUAACACCAUUUUCUUUUUACCUGGCCUUAAUGUUGGUAAUCUGUAGCUUGGAAUUUUUUAUUUUCCAAUAAGUGUAGCGUUGCAAUUCUGGAUUCACCAAAAUCCUGUUUUAGUAUAAGAGUGGAGCUUUAGUGAUGGUAGUACAGACUCUUUAAUGGUGCUAAGACUAUUAGAUAUUAUCAGUCUUCAGCGUCUGCAUAUGACUGACUAAUUUAAUUGCUGUUUCAAACUCCGCUUCUCGUUUCAUUGUCAUUUGGUUCCUUUGUAUUUGUGGCUAUGCAUCUACAAACACUUCAUGGUUACUGGUAGGUCCUCUUCAGGUGUAGUGAGGGUUGAGAUUGGAUCUUUGUUUUGAUAUACAGCAAUCUGAUCCUUUGCGAAAGGAUAUAAGAUCUCAUUUUACUGAAGAUAUGAAAUCUGUGCCUCAGAAAAAGGAUAUAAGAUCACCAAGCAGAUGAUUGACUUUUUAAUAGAACUUGAUGAUUGCUGCACAGUGAGUACUUGAGCUCUUGAUAGAUUACUAGAUGAGAUGAUAGGAUUGUACUCAUUGUGGAGGCUUUUUCUCAUUGUCACUUUGGAAAUGUUCCACUUCUCUGUUCUCUUUACAUUCCCUGCUUGUCAUGCAGCUGCUGAUUUGUAUAGAAACGGCAAAGCUAUCUGAAGCUUAGGGUUAUGCGUUUCACCAUGUCAUUAACCCCGAUGUUGAUUUUCUCCUCUUGAUAACUCUUACAGCUAGUUCUCUACUGGGCAACUCGUCUGGAAGAGUUCGACAACUCUAGUUCCCCUACAUUAGACUGAAUUAGCUGUAGGAUGUGCCUAUUUUCGUAUUAGUUUCCUUGCGUAUUUCCUCUGUUAUAGCAUUUAUUCUGCAGAGGCUUACAAGAUGCUUAGUGGCAAGUCAAAAUUACGAAAGGAUUAGCAAUUUAGGAUCUCAUAUCCAAGCUUAGAACCCAUGUGCUGUUUUUCGUUUAUUGAAAGGCAAUCCUCGUACAUUAACAUUUUAUCAUUAGAGCGAAGGCUUUGGAAGAUCACUGGACUGUAAGAUAAUUGGAUGGCCUAUAUCGAAGCCUAUUUUGAUCUGAGUGGAAGAUCACCAAAAUUGGGUGCUGGGUCCUGUAGAGGCUGUAAACUUAAAACAACCAGUUGGGACUGCACAAAGACUGGGACCUGAUGUUUGGACCUUACAGCUCACAGCUGGGAAUCUUGAAAAGUAAUGGGGUGGGGUGGAACUUCCUGAUGCUCUCCGAAUCUAAUAUUAAGGUCUGUUUGGGCUGAGUCAAGCAUAUUGAGAGGAGCUUGAACCCACACUAUGAUGAGUAGUACUUUGAGGAAACUGAACUGAGAAGUAUGGACCAAAAGCCCAAUUGCAACUUCGUCACCUCAAGUCACUUUACCCGUUUAAGAAUUCAUUCUCUACAAGCCAACAAGGUUUAUAUUUUCUUCAAGAAAGAAGAAAGGGGACUAUGGAGGACUCGUAUAUAGGGGAAAUUUAAUUUGCAUGUGAUGAGAUUCUGACCCAAACAUUUGUAGGGAACAAAGACCAAAGACCAAACUCUCCACUGUUGAGGCUAUCUAUCACUGCAAUCUUCUAUUGUUGCUACUUACCACACCAAGUCUUCGUCGGCUCAUUUGACCACCUAAAAUUAAAUGUCCCCACCAUCACCCCUCUUCCUUGUUUUUCCCCUGUUUUUUCUGCAGAAACAUUUUUUCCUAUCUUCUGGGCCAACCAAAAGCUAGCGUUGAGUUCAUUUACCGUUGCCCCAGUACAUUUUUAGGGUAACUUAUGAUGGGGCUUGGCAAGUUUAUAUGUAUUGACAAGAGGCCAGAAAAAUCUAAAACCUGGGAGACUAGGACCCCUUUGAAUUAAUUAUGAGAAAAAGCAAAGAUGAGAUGGAAUGCAGAUGCUUGUAAAAAUUAAAAAGAAAAAAGUGAUGAAACAUAUCCAACAAUGACUGAGAUUUUAUAGUUUUAUACCGGAUUCUUGCAAUGGUUAUUGGUGUACGUGUAACCUCUGUUUUUGUAUCUGUUCCCUGCCUUGGAAAAGAUAACUUAUGCACCUAAACGGUCCAGCUUACCCUUCCUGAAUAGUGCAAAUCAUUUGUUUGUACCAAAGAACCUUUUAGUAUGUCUUGGACCGUAUAAUGUACUAGUUUCUUCAUUUGAUAAUCAUUUAAAACAUGUUCUUACUGUUAAUUGCAUCAAAGCUUGAACUGUUGUUUUCGCAAAAGUAAUUACUGCAUGACACGCCACCUAUGUUCCAGUGAAAUUAUUGAGACUUAGAGAAGCUGGUGGGGAUUGCAUGAGGUGUACGAGUGUGCUCAAUAAAGGUCCAUUUAAGUUAAGGUUUGGGGUGGUUCAUCAUCCUUCCAAUGCCAAGAAAGGACAAACCUUAAGUCAGUUAGGUUUGAAAUCUGACAUUCUGAUGCGAUGAUGUAAUGCUUGCUUGCUUACUGACUUGAACAAUCUGACUCGAGGCUGUGGAAGGGUUGAUUAUUUACUUGAUAUAUAAUGCCUUUUCUUCUUGGAAAUGAUCAACUGGAAAGUCUGGAUUGGAAUUGCUCUGCUUCUUCUGCUACUAAUAAUUUCUGGGAGCGAAUUUAAUUCUUCAGGAGAGCAGUGGUACCUUUUCCUAUGGCAUUAAAUUCCUCGAGAAGAAUUUUGUUCUUUUCUAUUGACCUCCUCAAUACAUGCAAGCAACCUUUCCUGGUGAUUAUCAACCUAGUUAGAACAAGACAGAUGAACGGUACCCAAGCACGCUUCUAGCAAUCAUCAUUUUGCACCUCCAAAGCACAUUGAAAUGCUCUAGACAUUCACGCUUUCGUGUUUAAGGGCUAGCGACGACUCGAUUUCCAUUUCUUUCUUGUUGGUCUCUCCGGGGUGAAGGAUGGGAUUAACAUUUCAAUCAACUCCUCCUACUACGUACUGCUACAUAAAUGAGCAGUUCCCUGUAUGAUGAUCUAGUGGAAAAGACAUGCAACAGGUUUUAAAAGAAUCAAUUAGAGCUUUGACCAGUGAUUCAACUAAGGAAGGUUGGAAAUCUUCGGACUCGUAAUAAUAGACACCAGAGCUGCAUUUCCGGUAGGUAAUGUAGAUUAGAAGGUGAGAGUGUUAGGGAUCAAAUCCUUUCACUCAAAAAAUUAUCAAGCUACAAGCUUCAUUAGUCCUUUUCUUUUGGCAUUACAGGAUGAAAAAGGCUAAGAGGCUUUCAUAAAUAUCCCGUUAAGUAAGUACUACUACUCGUAAAGACAUUCAUUCGCAUGAACUUGCACAGGCUUGCUAGACAGUACGGUGUGAAAGGGGGCAUGAACCGUUGGGCCUGUUUUUGUCUCUUUGAAACAGCACAUAGGAUGCUGCGCACGUGGACAUGAAGAAGAAGACUAAAGAUAGAGAGAGAGAGAGAAAGAGAGGCAGACCCCAAAAUUUUCAAUUCUGGACGACGAGAAUCUCUCUCUCUCUCUAUCUCUCUGUGUAUGAGCCUGCCUGUGUGUGGAUGAAAUGAAACAUAGCAGAACUGCGUUCCCCGUUUGGGCUGUUCCUCAAGUCCUCAACCCUCUCUACCCUCAGCCAAUGUAAGAAAAUCUCAAUCAAAAUCAAAGAAUCAAAGACUGUCGUCCUUUUCUUUCAAUGCUCUAUGCAUCCCACAAUUACUGCUCUCUUCCCUGACACUUUCCACCCCAUGCACAGUUACAUAACUUACUUACACUUUUACAAAACUGUACAAACGUAGCUCAGGUUUCCAACACCACUCCUACUACCUUCUGGGCUUUUACUCACUGGACAGUGCUCUCUCGUAGGAGUACAUGGACAGUAUGACAUACGCUUGUAACUUAGUACCAAAUCAUACACUGUUCCAAGUCAGAAAUAUCUAACCCACAUGGACAGAGAAAAAAGGGGUAGUAGUGGAUACAGGAGGGAAAUGAUGGUCCGUAUGCCCAUGUAUCAAAAAUUUGCUCCAAGAUCAACAAAUAGAGAUAGCUAGGACCGCUAGGGGUUCUCAAUUUUCAUCACUAUUCCAGCAUGCACCUUGAAUGUGCUCCCCCCCUCUUUUAUGAUCCAAAUAGCUUUAUGUCACGAGUGGUUAACAUCUAGCAAAUCAUGCAAUGUAAGUGGGGUAGAUUAAUCUACCUUUCCUUUCCAUUUAUAGUAUUAGAACUUUAAUGAUGUCAUAUUUCUUUAAGCAACGCUAUGCUUUGCUCAGAUCUUCCAUGUCAGUAGUACUCUACUUAGCUACUUACUGACUGUCAAAGAUUAUACUGCAACAGUUUCACCUUCUACCUUUACUAUCUAUAUCUGGUAUCAUUUACCUGUAGAUCCAUCUCCUUCUUUGUAUGGUUCACGGAAAGUCAGUAAGACAAAACUCCUAGCUCCUUCCAGUCCCAGCUCUCAAUUCUCAUGGAUGGGACUCUCCCAGUCUCAGUCUCUCUACUACGACUCUACUCUACUCUACUCUAUUCCCCUAAUUCAAUGUGUUGCCUAGACUCCUCGGUGGGCCUUAAGCUAACUUUUCUAGACUUGAUGUGGAAGUACUGUAACUCUGUCUGUGUUUUUUUUUUUUUGUACAAAGCAGAUUGUCAUCUCAUCCUUGACCAACUGUUCUUUGAAUUUAUUUAUGUCCACAUUUCCUCUUCUUUUCUGCCCCAACUCAAUUUGGGUACUCAACUAAUGGGAAAAAAAGAAGCAAAUCAUGCAUGCCAAUUACGAGUAAUAUAAUGAGCUAUAUAUGUGUUGACCAGAGCUGCAUUUGCUCCCAAAAAAAAAAAAAAGGAAGAAGAGAGACUAGAGCUGCAUAGUUGCGGUCCACCCACUUAUCAGCACUAAAGAAACAAUUGAUUAUGGCGGAUAGUUCUUCGCAUUAUCUGCUGGUGUAUAUACCAAGCCCUAUGUAUCAGAUUAAUUAAUGGAACAACAUUUUGAAGUAAGUAAUCAAUAUGCAUGUGCAAUCAUGAUCUUGGAUGUAUGUAAUUAGUAGCACAUAAGUGGUCUUGUCAAAGUUCAUGAGGAUUGAUGAGACGGGUCUCUACUAUCUACUACUCUUAGUCUCUCUUAUAUAGCUCAAAAGCACCCAAGAAGCAAAGCUGAAGCUAAUGGCUUAGGGUGUUUGGAAGAGGUAGUUGGGAACUAUGGCACACACAUUAAUUUGUGUCCUUUUGCUUGGGCUAUGUAUAUUUCUCUCACUCUUCUGAUAGGAUGGAUCAAUUACUCAUUGGGACUUUCUUUCAUGGAGGGAAGGGCACAUCCUACCCAGCACAGUAUCCCCACCCCGAAAUUCACUGUGGGUCAUUCAAAAAGUACUCUUUGCAUAUCUUGAUGUCUUCUGUUCCUCCCUAACGAGUUUUGUCAGGUGACUGUUUGACUACUAAAUUCCUCCUGUCCUUUAAUCCCAAGUGUAAUGGCAUUCGUUCAUUAAUAGUAAUAGUAAUUAACUUCAUGUAUUACACUCAGUUUGUAUGGUCAUAUAUUGCCUGGUAUGUCAAUAUUGAAAAUGCGAUCGACAUUUUUUUUUCUUAUUUCAAGUGAAGUAUCGACAAGAAAAGUUUGUACUAACAAGAAAAAGCUUGUUUGUACGAACAAGAAAAAGCUUAAUGAAGUAUAGUGUGGAAGGCAACAAUCACAAGGGUUUGGCCAUCACCAGCCGUAUGUCCCCUGUGUAGGAGAAGCGACUAGCAUGAAGGGUUUGCAUCCAUCUCUCAAGUUUCAAAGUUGUGGGUCUGGCAAGUGCUACUACAUUACAAUAUCCAUGAUAACUUUUUAAGAAAGAAGAGAGGAGAGUUGGAAUUGCUCUUGUACAUAUGCAUAUGGUAAUGGUUUGGAAACUUGGGGGGACCAGAGAGAUGCGGACCGGGGCGACAAAUCCAACCAUCACCCCGUCCAUUUGAUAGAGUUUUGUUUUAAUCCUCUGCUAAUAGCGCUUCUGGUAAUUAGAAUUUGUCGACAAUUUUGUUUCGAAAGGGUUGAAGUAUAGGGUUUGUCUGGAUAAAAGAUUAUUUGGACAAAUUUUUGGAAACUAUAUGCUAACAUCGCUUUUUUUAUAAUUUGAUACAUGUGAAGUGAAAAAAUAAUUUAAAAAAAUAAAAAUGUGAUUGAAAAAUAUAUUUAUAAUAUAAUUAAAAUUUUCUUUUUAAAAAAAAAAAAAUCACAGUCCAAACAAAUCCAUUCUGACUCGCCUCGCAAAAGAGUGUGGAAUUAACCAAAUAUUUCUUGGCAAAUCUUUUCCACAUUUUUUUUCUUUUACAGUAAUAUCUACAAAUGUGAUGGCCGAAGCAAUUCAAGUGUAACUUCAGGGCUCCAAUGACCAAUAGCCAUUUUUGAAACUACCAUUCAUUGCCUGUGCAUUUAGGGGUGUAAAUGAAUCUAAUCAAGUCGAACAUCUUAAUGUUCAACUUUGUUUGAUUAUUUUAACGAGUUUAAAUUUUUGUUCAAAUUUAACUUAUUUAUUUGUCAAAUGGAGUUUAAAUUGAGUUUUUUAUCGAAUUUGAAUGGAGUUUAAAUGAGUUUUUUUUUUUAUCGAAUUUGAAUGUUAUCGAACAUAAAACGCUGUUUGAAUUUUGGAUCGACUAGUUAGUGCAUCAAGGUCGAACUCGCUUUUACCUAGGGUUGCAAAUAAAUCAAGCUGCUCGCAAUCGGGUCCGAACUCGAUUAACAUUGAGCUCGAGUCGAGAUCGGGCUGAUCAAGUCAAACUCGAGCUUAAAAAUACUAAAUUCAUUAGCUCGCGAACCAAUUCAAUCUCUAUUAUGUAUAUAUGUAUAUAUAUAAUUUUUAUUUUAAUAAUAAAAUUACAUAUAUAUUCCUAAUAUUUUAUUAUUUGUUAAGAAAAAUUAUUAUUUUAUUUAUUUUUAAAAAUUAAAAAAUAUAUUUUUUAAUUUUUUUUAAAGCUCGAGCUUUAUAAACCAAGAUUAAGACUCGAUUCGAUUAGGUCAAAAUAUGAUUCGACCCGACUCGACUCGUUUGCAUCCCUACUCUACCAAGUGAAAGUCAGAUUCGAGUAUAGAAUAAUUUGGUUCAUUUCGACCCUACAUGCAUUGUAAUAACUUUCUGAGCCAUGCGCGACCAAACUGGGAUAGCAUUCACGACCACUUUGGUCAAGGCAUUACAUGUUCAAUUUUAUUAAUUAUGUGGUAUAGAGUGAAGCAAUUAAGUUAAACGACUUCCAUGCUAUUUCUUAUUAAUAUUUUACUUGCACAUUUUCCUUUACUUUUUUAUUUUUGUAAUAAGCGGAAGUGAAAGAAAAAUGAAAAAAAAAAAAAAAAGUUCCUGCAUUUUGAAGUUUUGCUUAAAUUGUGCACAGCUGCUGGCUAGUAAUUUGCAAAGGACAUUAGGUUUAUGGCCACUCAUUAUUAGCUACAUAUGAUCUAUCUUAUUGGUUGUACUGGUACCCUAUUUCACCUGUGUGGGAGACUAUCUUGUGGCUUGUAAUCCCAUCCCACGUUAGUGGUUGGAUUUUGUCUUGUUUUUAGGAGCUCGUCCUAAAUACUGCAUAGCAACAGGGACACUAUAAUAAUGGCCUUUUCCUUUCAUGUAGUUCCAGGGGAACAGACUCAACAGAAUCUCAUGGAGCAGUCAUCCUCCUAUUCUGUUGUGGGCCAACUCACAUCAACAUUGUGGGGGUGGGGGGGCUCCUGUUCUUUUGGUGCCCUAGCUGGCUAGUAUUCUGAGAGUCAGUCAUGAGGAUGGAUGAGAGCCCUGAGCAUGGAUUAGCAACUCAGCACCUCCGACUUAUUUAUUCUAACACAUUACACCCUUUCAGAAGCAAAACAUCUCACUUCUUACGCAUAAACUUUGAUCCCACCACCUCAAAGAUAGUUGAACUUUUGAGAGAUUAUACCAACUUAUAAUACGUACAUCAUGAAUAUAAACACACACACACACACACACACAAGGGUUAAUUAAUUUAUUCUCAUUUCUCCUAAAUUGGGUUACCUAACAUGAACAGGAAUUUGUUGUAAUCAUGCUAGAUACACACAAGCUCCAUGUCAAGAAACCAAUAAAAGUAAUUAGGAACAGCAGAUCCUUGGAUAUGGUUCAAGAUCUGUGAACUACCAAGGCCUAUGCAACCAAGGCCCUCGUUAAUUUUGUUCAUACACAUGUAUAUAUGUCAAUGUACUUUUUAUAAGAGACAUGAUCGAUCUUAAGCAUACGCCUCUAAUUCUUCCCUUAUCCAAUAGACCAGAAGUUCAAUAAAUAAAUGUCCACUAUGCAUAACAAACUCAAUAAUAUUUGUGUGGGUACAUACCAGACAAAUAAGCCACGGCUGAUGUACUCAAAUAACUAACACAUAAUAUAUUAUUGUUCAGUAUCUUAUUAGCUUAUUAAUUAACUAAUCAUCAAAUGUUGAUCGACAUAUAAAGUGGCUGCUGCUGCUGCUUUAGUAUACGCAUCCGAUGACGACUACCAGAGCAGCCCUUUCCAAAGUACUAUUAUCACUCUUCGAAAAAUGCAUAUAUAUAUAUAUAUAUGAAAUGGGUUUUGUUGAGAAUAUGUUGUCCACUUCCUAGGUUUGACAUCAUCAUAUGCGGCUAUGGACAAAGAAGUGAGCCUACUCCUACUUGUGCUUAGAAAGAAAAGGACUGGUGAAGGUGGAUGGAUGGAAAUUUUAUCACAUGAGUUUAGUACAAAAUAAUCCAAGAAGAUAAGGUCAUGAAAAUGCAAUUAUGUAUCAUCAGUAUGUGAUAAGUUGUUGUUUCUUUGUCCGUAAUUCCACUCCACUGAAUUCAGAUGCCACUCUAUUAAUGUUGUACUCCACAAAAUAUGUGCCUAACUAUAUACAUAUAUAUAUAUAUAUAAACCCAAAACGAGAGAGAGAGAGAGAGAGAGAGAGAGAGAGAGAGAGAGAGAGAGAGAGAGAGAUCAGAGGGCAAAAAGAAGAAGAAGAAGAGCUACAGCUACUACGUAUGCUAGAGUGGCCACACGUGCUGGGUCACCUAGCUUCAUAGAGACCACACGUGCACAUGGGAAGGCACUAGACAGAGGGGAAAUAAAACUAGGAAAGAAACCACCACAGAAAAUAUAUGCAUGACGAGAGAAUACGUAUAUGUGUCUUCACCCUCCCCAGGGAGGGCUCCCCAGUCCCUCCCCAGGGUCACCAGUCAAAAAUACCAUCACACACACACACACACACUCACUUUUAACACACAAUUCACACACACAGAGAAAGAGAGGGACGUAGGCAGGGUUUUACUGAGUUGGCUUGUGGUGGUCUGAAAAGUUUAGGCAUCAGAUGCUGCCACGUACAUCUGUUGUCCGUGUCUGCAAAAUACAACCCACACACACACACGUUUGGUUUCUUUUGGAACUUGCUUGCAGCAUCGUUGUCUUCACUCGUAACUAAUCCCAUCUCAUCCAAGCUUUGCAAACAUCUCAGUUCCCUCUCACAACUUGUCUGUGUUUUUUGUACAACAUCAAUGAUCAAAACCAAACACUUCCGUUAACGUUUCUUGCUUACAUUCUCGUGAAUUGGCUGUAUAUUCUUUACUUGAACCCCAACUAUCUUUGCUGCAGCUCCGAAUGGACACUUUGUGCAUGACAAAUGAUAAACCAUGAGUGUGUUUGGAUUGUAAGUUAUUUGCCCAAAUAUAUUUGCUUACAUCACCAUUAUAAUUUUCAAUACACCUUUUUAUCUUCCCAAUUACCUUUUUAUCUCACGUACAUCACAUCACAAAAAGUGCUACAGUAAAAAUAUCUCAAAUAACUUACAAUCCAAACACACUGCAUAUUAUGCAAUCAAUCAAAGAGUUAACGAAGAGGUUUCCAAGGCCGCCUCAGCUCAUAUUAGAGGACUUCAGGGUUUAAAUGCGUGUAAAUUUACUCUUUAAAAUUUAUACAUGUGACAUGCAUCCGCUCCCGCUUCCAUACACACUACUACUGACCGUAUAGAAAAAAUUAAUUUAAUUUAUAAUUUAGAAACAACUAUAUAUGUAUAUAUGUGUGUGUGUGUGUGUGUGUGUGGUGGCAUUCAAAUUCUUGAUUUAAUUUUGUGUGGAUUCUAAAUUGUUGAUUUUAGGAAAUUGCUUUCCUCCAAAAGGGCAUUUUAUUUUGUAAACAAUUAGUAGCAGCAAAUAAUGAGUAUUCUACUCUCACAUCACAUGCAUGCAAACAUCAACAACAUACCAAGACUCUGAAAGCUGUACCAAUAAAACUGACCUGGCCAGCCAGAAGAAGUAGAUAUCGACACACAAAACAUGCCUCAUCGGUCGGACCCUAUAUAUUGGCCAUUGAGUUUGGAAGUAACUGAAAAAUGGGGACAAUUCUUUCGCUGUUUCCAUUCUUAUUAAUUGAGUGGUUUUCAAUUAUAGGCUGAUAAGGCAUUUCGGUUGGGGUUCCUGCUUCCUGUGUCCUAUAAAAUAAAAAUAUGAAGUCAGGUUUCAAAGUUAUUUGACCAAAGGUGCUUCAGUUCACUGAAAAGGUUGUACAUUCCUGUUGCACUGACACAAUUAAUGAAACGUAUGCGACUAGGCUUUGGUAUACCAGCAAGUACAUAAAAUUUGAUAUUCACACACUGUUUUCCUCUCAAAGGAAAUAGUUGAAAUUGGACUUUGACAUAUUUAAUGUGCCAAUUCAUGACUUUAAAACUUGUUUUACUCUCCCUUGGAAAUCUCACGAGCUUGUCAAGUUGUUUCUUCAAUCGGAUCAUUCUGCCAACAUUCCUGCCAAAUAAAUAAAUUUAGUAGUAUUGUUCAAAACAGAGCAGUAAACAGAUUAAUUUUCCAUCAUCAUUUUAUUGUUACCGCCAAGCUUGGAAUAGGACAUAUUUUUUCAGACUGCCUAUGGUGGGUGCGCCUUGAACCUAUAAUUUGCAAAUUAUAACAACUUCUACAAAUUAUUUUGCUUUUAAAAUUUCUUGCACGCUUAUACAUACAUACAUACAUAUAUACAUACGCACAUAUAUACACUCGCACACGCUAUAAUUGCUAGUUAUUUGAUCCAACGAAUAUCAAAGGCCAUUUUGCAAAAUUAGUUUCUUUUGUAAAAUUCUGAAUGUAAGUCACAUAUAAUUGACGAUAAGAGACCUUACACCUACCGCAACAUUCAUCAUUCUAAACUUACCACUAACCUUAUGCAGCUUUUUCAACCCCCACAUUAAAGGGAAAAAAGUCAAUAUAGAUGACAAACAUCCUUAGUUGUAGUUGUAACGAAAAAUCUUAAAUAAGCAGAAAAAAUUAAAAGAAAAAAAAAAAGAAAAGAAAGCAACAUUGCCAUGCAUUUUCCCCCUUUCUUUCAAUUGUCAUGAUUGGAUAGAGGACUUGUUCGCGAGAGUGUUUGUAGCUUCUUUCUAACGCAAUUUUCUUAAAAUACCAAACUUGUUGAGAAAAGUUUUCCUCCUUGUGAACAUUUGGACAUCAGUGAAUAGUUGGACUGUCUAUUGUAUUUCUUCUCUUACUCGUCACAAGCUAAUAAGGGAAACUUCUAGUAGUACUAAUUUUACACUACGAUAUGACAAUUGACAUAACAUGACGGAUUUUGGGAAAAGUUUUUUGUCCAGAAAUUUCAGUCGAAUACUAGUAGGAAAUUUUGGUGUUAUGUCGAUGUGUAUUUUCCAAUUUGUAAGAUUACAGUAUUCUCGAGUCUUACUGCUCCUCUUGAAGUUAAAUUGACUUCUUGACAUCCCAAAUAUUGCCAUGCAUUGAACCACAAAAGGUUAAAACUGAGAAAAAGUUGGGAUAGCUUAUCAUAAUUAAGUACUUUAGUUUAGAUAUGAAUAUGUCGAAGCAGGACAAUUUUUCCGAAUGUGUAAUGGCUUUUGUACUUCUGUCGUUGGCUAAACUUAAGAAGCUUAAUGAGUCACUGACGAAAGAGAUGAAGUGGAAGUGAUAAUUUAGUAAACAGCUAUUUCAAGUUUUGGUAUUGAUGAGCUAUCGUGGGGUCAAAUUCUUGAUGUAUACACGAUCACAAGAAUUGGAAACCAAUAUAUAUAUAUAUAUAUAUAUAUAUAUAUAUAUAUAUAUCUCGAGACCAAUGUAGAAAUGAUUAAUAUAACUCAACACCAAUGUGAUUUGGCGGCAUAAAUACAAAAGGGGCUUCCGAGCUAGCAUUACACAGUCAUUGGCUAUCAGGCGUGAAAAGUGACAACAGGAAUCCGGCAUUCAUGAAAGCUCUAGCUAUUUUGGCUUCUCUCGUGUGACUUCUCCUACAUAAUAAGAAUUUAAGUAUUAAUUUUAAGUCUUCAAAAUCUCUUAGCUUAUGAUAUGCGUCUGUGGGCAAUUGAAGAAACAUUAGUGAGGGUCAAAUCCAACUUCUCCCUCCCUUUUAUUUUUUGGUCUAUAAAAAUGGUGAUUUGAGAGUUGAAUUAUGAAUCUCAAGAUCACUUAAUUUACGUCCUUAACAGUUGAGUCUUGAGGGCAAAAGUUAAAUUCUUUAUUAAGUGGUCUGAUUAUUAUCAGUGCCAUAAAGAGUGCAGAAUGGCCCAACAGGUAGUUUUUCUUCCUGCUGCCAUUUGUAAUUGCCACUCUUGGCAUCACGUCAAAAUCAUAUCACCACUUUUCAUGUGAAAAAAAAAAUCUGAUGCAUCAAAAUUUACUUUUUAUCCUGCUUAGAGUAGAAUUUGUAUUUGAUUGACGAUUAUUGCAAGAUCAAUUUUGUUUGUACAUGCAAAAUAUUAUUGUACCACAAAAUCUCCUAUUACAGAUUCUCAACUGUGACUACAGUUUUUCUACUGGAAUAGGGAUGGAGAUUUAGCAUUACAAGUUGCAAGAUAUGAUGGAGUGCUAUGUUCUUGACAGGGUUGGUUAAAGUGGUGUAAUCAAAGCUUCAUUUUCAGCAUUUGACAAGAUAAAGGGUGUCUAAGACCUGUAUAACACGAAGCUAACAGACAUUAUAUUUGAAGUCUCUCUUGUCAAUGUCGGGAGAGACAGCCUAAGACCUUCACCUCUACUCUCAGCUGGUGGCAUAUAUAGGUAUUAGGACAUGGGAAAACAGAAGAAUAUUAAAAACUAGAAAAAGAUAGCAAUUUCACUGUUCCCCAGGAACAGGAAAAGGAAAAAAAAUGGAGAAAUCUGUUACUUAUUCUGGUACGAGUGAGAGCGAUAGUUUCUUUUUUAUUUUUCUUUUAGAGUAAAAAAAUUUUAACUCGCAAGUAUAAAUAUUGGGAUAAUAACUUUUGGAGUUCAGUGAGGAUCAGUCCACUCAGGGUGGUUAAUCUACUCACCCAAACACACAUACACUUCUCUUUUCUGUUAGAGACACUUUUGCUGUUUUUCUUGCUCCUCCCAAGUUUCUUUUUCUCAUCCUGGGCUGCAAUACUUCUUCCUUUCUUUCUCCUGCUCACUCCACCAUCUGUCAAACUUCUUUCUCCUUCAGCUCUGGUCCCUGCUGAAAUCUUUCUUUUUGCACCCUUUUUCAUCACGUCAUGAUCAAGAUGAAUGUGACCGUGUAGAGUUGAUGUUAAAGUAAAGCACCCUUUCUGUCAGAAAGGAUAAAGAGUUGAUGGAAAUGGCAAACAAGCAGUGUAGUAUUUAUGCACCAAAUACUACUAGUAGCAUAAAUACGGGCAUUGACAGUUAUCCAUCAGGGGCUUCCCCGUUUCUUUGUUCAUCAUCAUUAGCAUUAUCAUCGCCAUUAUCUUCCUCUCCUCCUCCUUCAGGUUCAAUGGGCAUGAUUUUUGAAGACAUGAGCUGUUUGUCCAUCAGUCCAAACUAUCUUUCUUCUUCACGAGAUAGCUUACAUGAAGGAAGACCUUGUUGGGGUUUUUCUUUUAUGCCAAAAUGCCUCCUGGAGGAAUCCCAAAAUAGUGAUGUGGGAGAAGGUAAAGGUUCAUCCGACUGCAGUGACGGAUUUGGAGAAACUGGUAAUCAACCCAUUGAUCUUAAUGCUGAUUUAAGUGAAGAAAAACAAAGCAAUAAUCUUCAGGCCGUUGGUAGCAGAGAUAGUGGCCAAUCAAAGCUCUGUGCUAGGGGGCAUUGGAGGCCUGCCGAAGACACAAAGCUUAGGGAACUAGUAGCCCUUUAUGGCCCUCAAAACUGGAAUCUCAUUGCAGAGAAGUUGGAGGGAAGGUCAGGUAACAGCUAGAACCUUAGCUAGUUCUCCUUCAUCAAGAGCUCUAUCGUGUCUUGGGAACCUUCUUAUGUUUAACUUUGCUUGUGCAUGUUCCUUUUUAAGGUAAAAGUUGCAGAUUGAGAUGGUUUAACCAGCUGGAUCCCAGGAUAAAUAGGAGAGCUUUUACUGAAGAAGAAGAAGAGAGACUAAUGGCAGCACACAGGCUAUAUGGGAAUAAGUGGGCCAUGAUUGCUAGACUUUUCCCAGGUAGAACAGAUAAUGCAGUCAAGAACCAUUGGCAUGUUGUGAUGGCUAGAAAGUAUAGAGAGCAAUCCAGUGCUUACAGGAGGAGAAAGAUGGGCCAAUUUGUCUGCGGGAGAGUAGAAGAUCACGACCGUAGCUUUGUCAGCAGGAGGGAUGCAAGUGCACACAUCAAAACAGAAUCAACAGGACCUCCUCCUCAUAAUUACACUCUGAUUAAUAACUCCAACGGGACACUACUUGGUAACCUAACAGCUUGUUCGUCAGGAGGAAAUCUUAAUGGCGGUGUAGGUGCUGGUGGCAUUGGGAUUGCUUGUGGAUCAAAUAUUUCACCCCACAUGGCAUCUGGUGGGGAAGCAGUACUAAGCAAUAUCGUACCCUCUCGUCACACUGGAUUUUGUUCAUCACAACAAACAUCCUGUGACAUCUUUCCUGGUGUGUCCCUUAACACAGAGAGCACGUUUCCUCGUAUAUUUGCCUUACCUCGUUGCUUCAAAUUGUUCCUUUUUCAUAUUUGUGGUCUCUAAUAUUGCACUGGACUUUGGCCAUUGAUUGUGGAUUCUUGUUCUGGUUAGUUGUUGUUUUGGCUCAGUAAAUAUGAAGGAAUAUUUUUCCUACUCAAACCUUAGGACAAGAGUAACUGAUUAAUUAUUUGAUUGCUUAGUUAGUAAUACUACAGAUUUUAUCUCUCUCCUGUUUUCAUGAAAUGGAGCCAAGGCAAACCUUGCUCUUUCCUUCUCAUUUUUUGUCCAUUCAUGGUAAGAACUAAAAACCAAGAAGUUUGAACUCAGUGAGUUUUUUUUUUAAACUAAUCAUCUUUUCUGAAAUUUCCAAGAUUCAAGUAAUUAUUGUAGCUGUAGCACUUAGUAGUUACUAGUAGCUAGUAGGACAUAAGUAGCGAUUGAACCCACAGCCUUGUUUUUUUCUGCAGGAAACUGCAGCAAUGGGAUGAUGAGCAUUUUCAAGCAAGGCAGGCCUUGGGAUAGGCCAAGAGAUGAAUCCAACGUCUCAUAUCUGUGUCAUCAUCCCGUGCAGCAGCAGAUUCACCAUCCUCUUUUAAUGACUGCAAUGCAACAGUCACAACACUGCCAGUACCACCACCCUCCUAGCACCAGCACCAGCAGCCUCUCAUCAGUAGAUUAUUACCAUAACACUAGCACAGGAGGAGGAGGAGGAGGAGGAGGAGGAUCAAUAUCAAUACCACCACAAGUUUCAUCACUACUCACUACUACCACUGACCCUGCAUCAUCACCACUCACAGAAGACAGAAUAACCAGCCAAUACGAGACCCUUUCCCCACCAUUUAUAGACUUUCUCGGGGUUGGAGCCACAUGAAGUUAAAAAGCCAAUGAAAGCUCAAAAUGGUUUACUCAAUCCCUAGAGAAGAGGAGAAGAGGAUCUUUCGCAUUGGUCAUUACUGCUACUACUAGACCAACCCUGGCGGGUUUUCAUUACUAAUUUACUACUACAACUGAAGAGGCAUUUUGUUGAGUCAAAGUAGAAACAGUGCAAGUUCUUUCUGUUUCGUAGCUUUGAAAUAUCAAAUAUCAAAGCCCCCCCUAUCUUUCAGAGUCCUCACCCACUCUAUUGAUCCAUUCCACCAAUAACCACCACCCCCCCUUUCCCCCCCCCCCCUCCCCCACCACACAAAAAAAAAAACCCCGCAUCCUUUUCUAUUGUAGCCUGUUUUGUAGUCUCUAUUCUUCACAUGAUGAAAUGAAACCUGUUUGAUAUUUUUGUGAUACUACAAAAUAAGAUGCUCUCACUACUGUUUCUACAUUUUCUUUCUUGCUUUAUUUUUUUUCUUUUUAAUUUGGCACAUUCGUAACUUCCUCGAGUGAAAGGGAAUUAAAUAUCACCAAAAAAAAAAAAGAAAAGAAAAGAGCUGGGAUGCCAAGUAGUAGUAAGUAACAGCUGACAAUUAAUGUGUCCUUUGACAAGUAAUAUAGUCAGGAGGCAAGGCCUGCUUGGUUGGUUACUUGAUUAGUAGCUAAUUAUCAGUUUGCCCAGCGACAAGGGGUAUGAAGUCACCCUAUUCUUGUUUAUCAUGAACCUGCGAAACGGAAAAACCUUUUUAAUGAACAUCAUAUGUUAUCCUACUGAUCAAGUUCUGUUGCACUAGUAAGUAAAAUGUUUUGUUUUGUUACCAAAAGAGACGAGGAAGCAAAGGGGCUGUAGGAUAGUGUGGGAGCAAAAAUCAUGGGAGACGGUGAUGAGACUUGAGGGAAAAAGACAAAGUAAAACACUGGGGAAAUCUGAAUACAUCCUUUUCUCAUGGACCUGCAAAAAUCAGGCACAAAUUCUGGGCCUGAACACAAAAACCUGCUUCGAAUGCAGUCAUUAUGGUAACUGUUUAACAUCCUUGCCUCAGCAAGAAUCUUCUGAGAGUAGUCAUGCUGCCCACAUGGGCAUGGUUCUAUGGAGCUGCCCAACAGUCAAAUACUAAUCUUAUGUUAGUAUACGACAUCCACCGCAUCCGACCCCCCCCCCCCCCACCCCUUUAAAAAAAAAAAAAAAUCCCCGAAAUCCACCACACCUUAUUCAAAAAAAACCCCAUGAACCGUAAAAAGCAUGCUUAAAAUUGAAAAAAAAAGAAAAGAAAAGAGCAAAAUAGGGAGUAUCAUUUUUAGUCCAUCACUGGAUCUUUAGACGCUGGAAGAAGCAAAUGAUUUAAUGCAGCCAUCAUUACUCAUCUGUAACUCUGCAUUCAUCAUAGUCAACAGUCGGUUUCAACUUGCAUUAGCCCUCUCUAUGCUAAUUAAGGAAACCAAACAGCGUAUCUAUAGGCAUAAUAAUAAUAAUGCACCUGGCUGAUUCAUCAAGAUUGUCACAGCAGAAAAGAAAACAACAAAGAGAAAUGAAGAUGUAUUCUUCCUUUCUUUAUUUUUUGUGUAGGGAAAGGGAGGGGGGGGUGGGGGGGGAGGGGUGUUGGUUUUGUUCAGAUUUGAUGGAAAUGAACAAAUCUCUCUGCUCUCAUCCUAAUGUCACAAGUGAUGCACGCUCUGGGAAGCCAACCACGCAGAUGCUGGAUGCCUUUUUCCAACUGACGUCAAUGUACCUGUAACCCCACUUGAGAUCCUCGGUGUCAUUUUUUUUUAUGUCAACCCAAUGCCAUCUGUAAUAUUGCCAAGUAUCCUGUUAUUAUUUAUACUUGUGUUGAAUUAUUAGAAGAUUAAAGUGUAAAUAAUAAUAGGACACUUGACGCAAUAUUAUAGGUGGCAUAGAAAAACAUGUCACCGAGAAUCACAAGUGCUGUAACUCAUAUUCGGAAGAUUAUUUGAAAUAAUUUAAUAAAAAAAAUACUAAUAUAUCAUUUUUUUAUAAUAUAAUAUAAUGUAUAUGAUAUAAAAAAAUAGUUUAAAAAUAGAAAGGUGAUUGAAAGAUCGUGUUUGUGGUAUAAUUAGAUUUUUUUUUUUUUGCAAAUAAAAAGCUAUCCAAGCACAGGUAAAAUUAAUACAAAUGCCUGUAUCAGAAACAUAAUUUUCAAUUAAUUUUUUUUUUAAUUUUACAUGUAUUACAUCUUAAAAAGUGCUGUGAUAAUUAUUUCAAAUAACUCCAAAAACACAAAUGGUUGAUAUUCGUAAAGAGCACUACCGGACGGUACUGGGCUUCGAUACUUUAAUCUUGAACUUAUUAGGCAGUCAUUCCAAUUCUUUACUGUGUGAUAAAUGAAAAUGGUUAACAAGUAGGCAGUCAUUCCACUUCUUAUACUAUUUUAAUCAUCUCUACUUCUUCUACUAGCGCGUAAAGAUAAAGUGAAUCUUACCCCCCAAAAAAAAAAGGGGGAUAAAGUGAAUGAGUUACAAGUAGCUUAACUAGCACGCAAUAUAUACUUUUUUGUAUAUAAAAAUCAACAUUAGACAAAGACAAAACUUUUUGAAUAGGUAAGUAAAACAGUAAAUUUUUGUAAGCAGUAAAAACCUUCGACAUGAUCAAAAUGUUGGCAAAUAUUUGGCCUUAAAGAUGUAAGUUAUGAAUUUGGAAGACAAGGGCAAUGACAAUAUAUAUAUAUAUAUAUAUAUGUAUAUGUGUGUAUGCAUGCAACCGCUAACUAUGAGGAAGCCAGCCAGCCAGCCACCUCCCUCUCCCUCUCCCUCUCCCAUCUGUAGCUGUAGCCUGUCUGAAGACUGCGGCUCCGUUUGGAUUAGCUGUUUUUUGGGAUGUUUUUGAAAAACUUUGCUGUAGCAGAGUUUUUAGAGUAUAUUUUGAAAUAUUUUUAAAAAAUAUUUUGGAAUAUUUUUUAUUGGCACUUUAUUUUGAGAUAUUUGGUAAAAUUUUAAAAAAUUUUAAAUUAAUUUUUAGAUUAUCUUUUAGAGUACUUUGUUAUAACUUUUAUUGUAUUUGAAAAAUUAGUUUUUGAAAAACACUCCAAAAAUAGGAGAUCCAAACAGAGCCUGCAGUUGUUAUAACGUUUGGAAAUUUGUGUUGUGUGUGCGUUUUCGAAUCAGACUUUUGUCUGCCGUUUGGUUGAAGCCAAUUCAGUCCUGAGCGAUAGCAAUCUAAUGUGGGCCUCUAUAUGCUUCAUUUCCCACGGGGAUCUGCUUCCCAGUUUUGGGCUUCUCAAGUUGAAGAACUUGAAGGAGGGUUAGGGUCUUCUUAAUUAGACAGCAAUUAAUGACUGUUUCCUGAAUUUCAAUAAUGGAGCAGUACUAUGAAUUGAGGGAUGAAAGAGUUGUGAGUUUUCCACCCAAAAAAAAUUAAAUUAAAUAUUUUCUUCACACAUUUUCUAAUUGCUUUUUUAUAUUUAUAUGCAGUACAUCAUAUCGCUGCUGCAGCAGUAAAUUUCUUUUUUCUUUCUCUAAAAAAAGUGGGCUUUUAAUUCACAGAUUAUGUAGCAUUGUAUAUAUUCUGUACGACAAAUUAAAUCGCGUUGAAUCUAGAAUUCGAGUUUCAUAAUUUUAGUCGCAAACUCAAUAUUGCGUGUAUUUGUUCGAAUUUGGGCCUUAGGCCGCAUGCAGAAACACACGACAGUUUUUGAAAUGGCAGAGCAGGGUUGGAUAAUAGUCCAAUGGUUCCAUGCACUUAUGGUGUAGUCAGUCCAAACUCUUAAGCUUAAAGACAAAAACCUCUCUCUUUCAUUUUUUCUUGUUGCAGUGCAGAAGAGAAGGAAUUUAAAUGGAUCUUCAAUCCACUAAUCAUUGCAUUUUCACCCGGGCACUGGUAAUACACAUUCUUGGCACUGGUACGUAAUACACAUUGACAGCUUUAUAGCUUACCUAAACGGGUUAGAGUGGAAAUACCAACAGAUACAAGGGUGGGGAAAAAAAAGAAUAAAGGAAGAAGAUCAGCAGAAACACUUGCCCAUGAACGCCAAAAACUCUUCAAAAUCAAGGACUCCAUCGCCAUUGUCAUCAAAAGCACAGAUCAUCCUUCUACAGUCCUCCAGUUCUGAUCCUUCCUUAAGGCACAGCCCACAUAACACUCUCUGUACCUCAGCUGCAUCUAUAAAUCCAUCUUUAUUCUCAUCAAACACUUGAAAAACUUGCUUAAUCUCCUCUAAACUAGGCUCCUCAUCAAGCAUUAUAUCGGAAAACUCACUUACUUUCCAGUUCUCUACAUCAUCAUCAUUACCUUCUUGAUCACAUGCUAUUCCAAGUCUAGUCAGCACUGUCUUGAUCUCCUCCAUGCAAAUUUCUCCAGCUGCACUUGGUUUAGCAGUUGGGUAAGUUUCAACAACUUUCAUGUUGCUAAUAACCCCUGUCCUCGUGCUCGUCCUCCAUUUUCCCAAACAAGACUUAACAAGAUUUUCUAGGGAAAAAUGAAGACAUGGAAAGAUAAAAGUGCAAAACCUGACCCCCCACUGGAGAACUUUGAAGAGAGAAAGGAACCGUAACGAGGCAGAAGCCAUGACUUCGAUUCUUGAAAACAUGAAGUGAAGGUGUUUUCUGAGAUGGAUAGGAAAUUAAUUUCUUGCUUUGGAUGAUGAAUUAUGCAUGGCAAACUGGCAAUGCACGCUAUAUAUAAGAAAAUUUUAUAGUACUCUGUACUGGUGAAUUCUUACUUGUUAAAAUACUAGGAAUUUACCAGUAUUCUAUCGUGAAGAAUCGCGUCCUUCUGUUACUUACUCUUUUAGUAAGUGGAUUACAAAUUCCUGGAAAUGUUCACGGGAACGGCCAAGAAGUUCAUGACCUUUUGUCAUCACUCCUCAUCCAUUCUUUCUUGGAAAUUAGUCAGCCAAAAAGAAAUUCUUUGAGGCUCGAAAGCUAGUGUAAACGCCAAGAAGAAUAGGCUGAAGUAGUGAACCUCACGACGAUGGUCGAAAGUGCUGGAGAAAUUUAUGGAAGUUCCACUGCAAUUUGCUUUUCAUACUAAAUAGACUAACAAACAAUUGCUUUCGCUUUUGACGUACGUAUUUCUGAUAAUGAAUCGUAGCCCUUUUUUAAGCUAGAAAAAUAUAGCAGUAGUUCCAUUCCGUCAGACGUUGUCUUCUCGGUCGACCCGUCAAGUCAUCUUGAGUCAACCUUUUUGUCUCCGUGUUGAAACAUGGCCCGUCCUUCUUCCUGCUUAAGUGCAUUUGUCACUUUUGCCCCUCUUGUUUUGUUAGGAAGGAGGGUGCUUCCUGACCCGAGAGAGCAAUACACUAACGUAAAGCUUUUCUUGGUUUAACCAAACUUUUUCUUAAAAAAGAAAAAAGAAAAAAGAGCUUGCUUUUAUUUUCUUCAUUCGAUUCAAGAAUACCUUAACUUCUAAGGUGGAUAAAAAAGGGUAGAAAACUUGAGAGUGGAAUUAGGUGCUUUAUGAUACUGAAACUAUUAUACUUAUCUGUUAAGUGUAAUUUAGUUUUCCUUUUUUCCCAAGCGAUAAUUACCUCUUAUAAAGAGUAUUAAGGGACGGUUUGGAAUUGCGGUAAUUUAUUGAAAAGUACUUCCCUAAUAGAACUUUUAAUAAAAGUACUUAUUAACUGUUUAAGUACUUUUAAAUAUAUUGUUAGAAAACAUAGUUCAAUAAGUACUUAUUGUAUUGGAUAAUGUGUAAUUUGAAAAUUUUUAAAAGUGUUUAUCUCUUUAUUUGGUUCAUGAUAUAGGAUAAAAUGAUUAGAUUUGAUAUUUUAUUUUUUUAAAUCACGAAAGAUACUCUAAAAGUACCAAAUUUAAGGUUUUGUUAAAAGUGCUUUUAACACCAAAAACUCUACUCCUAAUUUUAUGAAAUGAUAUUCAUCAAAUUCUUUAAAAGUACUUUUAACACCUAAAAAUAUUUUUUUUUUAUCAAAAGUAUCGCAACCUCAAACAGGGCCUAAACGAGGUACAAAGUAUGAGCAGCUGCUCUACAGUCAUCCUUGGCUAAGUGUAAAUAGUUGUUUAAAUAAAUAUGAAUAAUAAUUAUUAGUUUUAGCAAGAAGCACGAUCCGUUUGAAUUGUGUGUUUUUUAGGCACAUGUCUCAAACUUUAUUGUAAUUUAGUGUACUUGUAACUUGUUUUAGGUUAAAUGUCAGUGUUUAUCCAAAAUAAGUAAAAGCACCCUAUCUAUUUAGAAAAACCCUUCCCCCCCCCCCCCACUGGACCGGUACCCUAUUUAAUUUUUUUGGGGUGCUUUUUUAAAACUUGUGGAGUGUUUUGAAGUAUUACUAUGGAUGUUUUAACAAACUUUGUCUUUCCAAAACAAACCCAAAAAAUCCUUGCCAAACACAUCCUAUAACCUAGGAAUUAAUUUUAAAAAAUUAAAUGAUUAACUUUUUAUACAUUGAUAGUGUAGUGGUUUUCUUACACUUGUAAUUAUGGAUAUAUGUCACAUGUGUAUAAUUAAAUUUUAAAUUUAAAUUCAUAUUAUGUGACAUGAUUUAAAUCUAUUAGCGUGCAAAAAAAUGUACAUUGACAAUGUAUAAAAAACUUAUUCAAAAUUAAUGAUCAAUUUAAUUCAAAAAGUUAAGUUUGAAAUGUGUUUUAGCAUGAAGACGGUGACUUGUAUUUGUAGAGACUUUAAGGGCCUUGGGAGAUUAAAAGAUGCUAGCGUCAGGAAACUGUCGACAAUGUUUGGAUUCUCUUUAGUAGAAGAUCCAACGGGCGCUCAUGAAGCUCGCUUGGAUUGGGCUUUAGACACGAAACGGGAAUGUCUGUCUAUGGCCUAUGGUCUAGAUCAACCUAAGUCAAAUGAAAUGUUGGAUAUCCACCUUAUCAAUAUCUCAAAUCCAUGAGAGUGUGCAUUUUGUGUCUAACCUAAAUGGGCACGCCAAUCGAACUGAACCAUUAUGGGAUGGUCCUUGUUGGCACCCACAAAUGGGCCACCAGAAACAUCGAGAGCAAGUAUCUGUUAUGCGGUAUCAUCAACCCCCUUUCAUCCUUUUCUGUUCCCAUUGUGAGGUGAAAGUUAGGCCAAUCUGGAAUCGCUGAUCACAAGCGAGUAAGUGGACGUCACUUCUUUUCUGAAAUCGACAAAUUUAAUAUCUAAGCUAACCUCGCAGGAGAACCCCAAAGACGCUAACUUUUGAAGCCUCCUAUAAAACUUAAAUCCUAAACCCACCGACCCCAACAGAUCGAUAUGGGACGCAGGACGGGAAAACAGGGAGGUUGCUACUGAGCCUGCUAAUGGAACCCACUCUACUCUGACAGUUUUCUUUCUAUUAAAAUCGGCAAAUUUAAUAUCUAAACUAAUCCCACAGGAGAACCCCAAAAGGCAUUAACUUUUGGAGCCUCCUAUGAAACUUAAAUCCUAAACCCACCGAUCCCAACAAAUCGAUGUGGGACGCAGGACGGAGAAAUAGGGAGGUUGCUACUAAGCCCGCUAAUGGAACCCACCCUAGUUGGACAGUUUUCUUUCCAUUAAAAUCGGCAAACUUAACAUCUAAGCUAAUUACACAGGAGAACCCCAAAAGACGCUAACUUUUGAAGCCUCCUAUGGAACUUAAAUUCUAAACCCACAGACCCCAACAGAUCGAUGUGGGAUACGGGACAGGGAAACAGGGAGGUUGCUACUAAGCCCGCUAAUGGAACCCACCCUACUCUGAUUUUUAACCCUCGCUAAUGGACAUCACUUCUCUUGAUCAUCUUUCCAAAGGGGACUUUAGUGAAUCGGUUUGUCUGGCGGGUGCCCUGUAGGACACUCGUUAAUAUAUAUAUAUAUAUAUAUAUAUAUAUAUAUAUAUAUAUAUAUUCAGGUGUUAUAUUUUUAAAAAUAUAAAAUUAAUUAGAAAAAGUAAAUAAAUAUAAGAGAGUAUAAGUAAAAUUAAAUAGGAAAAGUAUAUAAAUGCAAAAGAGAAUAAUAAUUAUUAGUAUGUGUAUAUAUAUAGUAGAUUAGAUGAAUAUUAAGUGUGUAGAAAAACUUUUUUCUCACUUAUCAUCUAGAAGAUUUAAGUUAUUUUUACACGUAAAUAGUUUUAGAUAACAAUUAGAGAAUCACAUUACCGGUGGAAAAAAAAAAGAAUGUCAAAUGCAAUUCGUGUUCAGUUCUCCAACUGCUUCACGGAAUUAACUAAAAUUUGCAGCCGGAAUUUGAUUGAUUGGCCAGGUAACUUAUCGACUUCAGAGCCGGCAAAUGUGUUAGUUGAUUUCAAAUAUUAGUACUUACAAAUGCGAGAGACAUUCUACGUAGAUUGACAACAUUAUUGACAUCUAGUGUUUCUUCUUGAUAGGAAAGGAACAAACAUGAAAAGGAAAGAAAGAAACAGCCCAUUGGAUAAUAAAAGUCUCCGCAGCAUCACAUGCCUGGGGACCCGUAACAACUCAGAUCUCCCACAGAAUUUGUGGCCUUGUAUUGUUGAUAACUGCGCUCAGAUCUCCCACUGUCUCACCCUUGGCUGAUGAGUCUGAAACACAUGUUCACUACAUCUUUAGUAUAUCCAAGAAAAUUUAGUCACAUAUAUUUCUCUGUGGCUGUGUCAGAUUUUGUUUUUUUCUAGCUAGAUUUCUAUUGGUUUGAUUAUUCAAGUGCUUUGCUGUUUGCUCCUGGAGAUUCCAUACGGGAAGAAGUUAAAAAGGGAGGGGAAGAAGGCAAUAAAAGAAACAAGAAAAGAAACAAGAAAAGAAAACCUUUAUCCUCACUAUUUCCAACUUUUGGGAUCAGCAAUUAUAGAGGUUAGACUGUUUCGGAAUUGACAGAGAAGGGUCAUUAGCCUUCUGCAACUCAUCUUAAGUUUUAUCUCCACAGGUGAGGGACCAGCUAAAAGAGCCACAGCUGCUUUUCUCCCGAAUGCCCCCACUCUCUGGUAUCGUUCCUGCUAAAAUCCACGAAAUUUGGGAGUUCGAAUCUUCUAACCAGAGUUCAUGCCUUCAUGGUCAGUGACAUCUAAAUUCGCACUCAUAAUGGUGAUAACUAAUUUCGAAAUGACCUUGAGGUUCGAUUUCAGCGCAGACACAUUGGCAUGCCUCCGCAACUAUGAACACAAUGUGAUCAAGAUGCAGAAUAACGUAACAUCCCUUUAAAAAUAAUAAUAAAAAUAAAAGUUUAACAGCCCUUCUGCAUAAAGAAAGAGUGAAGCUUUUAACUGUGAUCUUUGUACAAGAUGUUUUAGUCUGAUUUGAAAACCAACAGAAGACUGAUAUGGCUGUUGGCUUGAACUCAGCAUUGAUGAAGAUCCAAGGAUUUUGCUGAUUUUAGGGUCGAUCUUUGUCCCGAUGGUUUGCUACAUCAGGAAUUUUUCUUAUUUCCUGCUGCUUUAUUGUUUUGUAUGUACCGAUACACAAUUUACACUCACUUGCAAGUGACAGGCAUAAACAUCAUAGAAGGAACUCUUUGUACCGUUACAAGAAAGGUUGACUAAAAAGUGGGAAGCUGAAACUUUUGCUGAUAGCUCCUCUGCAAGAGUUCUAUCUGCUCUUCCUCUUGACUUUAACAACAUCUUCAACCGAUUCCUGCACUACAGUCAGAUGACCGAAUAUAUUGCAACAUUUUCUGCACUUAUAGAAGUGGGUAAGAUUCUCUCCAGCAGUUGCUAUAAGUUAAGGUGUAAA
This 44389-nucleotide long non-coding RNA is filed under the name Coffea arabica (coffee). RNAcentral describes it as "long non-coding RNA (CARA_LNC007624)". The record is from RNAcentral. Lineage: Eukaryota; Viridiplantae; Streptophyta; Magnoliopsida; Gentianales; Rubiaceae.